RNAcentral lists this transfer RNA (72 nucleotides) under Pangasius djambal. RNAcentral describes it as "tRNA-Gln". It matches the Rfam family "tRNA". From Rfam's summary of the family: Transfer RNA (tRNA) molecules are approximately 80 nucleotides in length. Their secondary structure includes four short double-helical elements and three loops (D, anti-codon, and T loops). Lineage: Eukaryota; Metazoa; Chordata; Actinopteri; Siluriformes; Pangasiidae. The record is from RNAcentral.
UCCCUGGAGGACUAGUGGUUAGGCCACAGCACUCUGAAUGCUGCGGCCCAGGUUCGAUUCGCGGCCAGGGAA